UUUUUUUUUUUUUUUUUUUUUUUUUUGCAAAGUAAAAAUAAAAUGCAACUAGUAGUAGUUAUUAGAGCUAUUGGUAGGCGGAGUGAAACUCAAGCCCAACUUUUACAAAUUAAUAGCUUGAGACUUGGAGGUAUUCAGAUGGGCUGGGCUUAGCCCAACCUUGAGUGAAGUUUGUCCAAACAAAUAACAUUUCAGAUAUUGGGCCCACCCAACUAUGGGUUUUGUGUCAACCGUCCAAGAAAAGAUCGGACACUAAUGAAAUCCAGGGUUUUAAUGUCUACUGUCUACAUAUGGAGCGUUAAACCCUUGAAGAAUCCCUCUCUUUAGCAUCUGCAUUUCCGAUUGAUUUCCGCAACAAUUUUACCUUCAGAAGCAGCCAUGAAUCGAGCAAGGACAAUCCUCGCAUCUCUUAGACUCUCCAACUCACUCCUCUCAACUCGGCUCUCCACUACCCGACCACUUCUAACUCAGGUGAUUCGCUUCUCCCCCCUCUCUCCAUAUUUUCCCUCUGAGCAGUCUCAUACUUGUUUUUUGAAUUCCCAUCAAAUGGUGUACUUCUCAUCAAAACCAGGUUCUCUUGUUGAGCUCUUAUUGGGCAAUGAUUGGUCCACUGAGUUAGAAAGCGAGUUAGAAACCUCCAACCCCAGAUUGACCCAUGAGACAGUUGUUUAUGUUUUAAGGAAGCUAGAUAAAUACCCGGAUAAGGCAUGGGACUUCUUUAAUUGGGUAAGCGAGAGAAAUGAAUUUAAACUCAGUUCUCCACUGUACAGCUUAAUGCUUAGAGUUCUGGUUAAAAAGGAUUACAUGAAGAAGUUUUGGAUUACGUUGAGGAAAAUGAAAGAACAAGGGUUUUAUAUUGAUGAGGAGACUUAUUUAACAAUUUCAGCAAUUUUUAGGAAAGAGAAGAUGGACAGUGAUUUGGUGGCUUUUAAACAUUUUUUUGAUAGGAUGGUUAAAGAGAAUGCUAUGGAUAGUAUAGUGAAAAAUGUGGUUACUGUUAUUUUGAAGAUGGAGUGGAACAACGAGGUUGAGGAAGAAUUGAGGAGUAUGGGAAUCAUUUUAACAGAUAAUUUUGUGAUUAAGGUACUGAAGGAGCUCAGGAAUUAUCCUUUGAAAGCUAUGCUGUUUUUUCAUUGGGCUGGUAAGUGUGAAGGUUACGAAUGCAACACUGUCACAUAUAAUGCGAUUGCCAGAGUUAUUGCUAGGGACGACUCAAUUAGAGAGUUUUGGAGUGUUGUUGAGGAAAUGAAGAAUGCUGGUCAUGAAAUGGAUAUUGACACUUACAUAAAGAUUUCGAGGCAGUUUCAGAAAAUGAAGUUGAUGGAGGAUGCAGUAAAGCUUUAUGAAUUUAUGAUGGAUGGCCCAUUUAAGCCCUCAAUUCAAGACUGCAGCUAUCUUUUGAAGAGCAUCUCAGCAAGCGACAAGCCAGAUUUAAAUUUGGUCUUUAGAGUUGCAAAGAAAUAUGAGGUGAUGGGAAGUUCCCUUUCUAAGGCUGUCUAUGAUGGGAUACAUAGGUCCUUGACAAGUGCAGGACAUUUUGAUGAAGCAGCAAAUAUUAUCAAGGUUAUGAAGAAUGCAGGAUUCGAGCCUGACAACAUCUCAUACAGUCAAUUGGUCUUUGGACUUUGUAAAGCAAGGAGAUUGGAAGAAGCAUGUGAGGUUUUGGAUGAAAUGGAAACAAAUGGAUGUGUUCCUGAUGUCAAAACUUGGACCAUUUUGAUUCAAGGCCAUUGUGCUGCUAAUCAAGUCGACAAGGCACUAAUGUGUUUUGCCAAGAUGGUGGAGAAAAACUGUAAUGCUGAUGCUGAUCUGUUGGACAUUCUAAUAAAUGCUUUCCUCGGUCAAAAAAGGAUAGAGGGUGCAUACACAUUACUCGUGGAGAUGGUGAACAAAGUCCAUUUAAGACCUUGGCAGGCUACAUACAAACUUCUUAUCGAAAAGCUUCUAGGAGAAAGGAAACUUGAAGAAGCAAUGGACCUUCUUCGUUUAAUGAAGCAACAUAACCAUCCUCCUUUUUCUGGGCCAUUUGUUCAGUAUAUAUCCAAGUUUGGGACUGUGGAGGAUGCUGCAGAUUUCCUGAAGGCAUUGAGUGUGAAGGAAUAUCCAUCAACUUCAGCUUACUUUAAUGUCUUUCAGUCCUUCUUUAAGGAAGGUAGACAUUCUGAGGCCAAAGAUCUGCUAUAUAAGUGCCCACAUCAUAUUCGUAAACAUCCUAAAAUUUCUGAACUUUUUGGUUCCGCACGAAGUUCUGUUGCGAAUGAUUGAUCAUAUCAUUCCUAUUUUUUACUUAUAACUGAAGCAUCGAUUCAUCUUCCAAUCUUCUCUUGUACAAAGUUGCCCAAGCACAAUACUGAAAAUUAGUUGUAUAAUUUGCUGGUAGGAGUUCGUUCAUUUUCCAUUGCGAAUUUAGUGUCAUGUAUUUAUAUAGCAUUGGCCUAAUCUGCCAUCUUUCAUUUUUGCCGAGUCCUAGGUAGUAGGUAAUGAAAGCAAUUGUAGCUUUGGCUGGAAAGUUUUGGACCGACCAAGAAAUAGCGGUUAUUACAUGGUGUUUGGCUUUAUUUGUUCAGAGUAAAAACUUCCCUUUCGGAGAAUGGGAGAAUUACUAUUUAGUUCCUAUAGUUUAAUGAAAUUGAUUAUUUAAUCCCUGUCUUUUGAAAUAUAUAAUAAUGCAUCCCUGUGAGCGAUGUAAUACCAUUUAACAAUUUGGUCCAAAAGCUUUAGGUAAAGUGAGUUUUUAGUUUAGCAAAAUAGGUAUGGUAAUUAUUAUUUUAAUAAUUAUUCAUAUUAUUAAAAAAAAUUAAUUCUUGCUUCUAGCAUAAAAAAAAAAUACAAUAUGAAUAAGAUAAAAAAUAUUUUAGUCUUUCCAUAGGACUUAGUCGUCCAACCGGAACAAUCUGUAAAAAAGCGAUUAAUGCAUUUUUAAAAAGGCAAGAAACUAUUAAUUUCACCAAAUUAAGAGGGCUAACUAGUAAUCUACCCUUAAGUUAUCAAUGAUGGAAUUUAAUUUAAUCGUGUUGGAUUUCAAAGAAUUAUUUCAUCAGUAAAAUGAACAUUUUCUUAAUAGACAUGAAAGCAUAAAAUCCAAAAUUACUUUCACAUGACAGUUUUUUUUUUUCUAGUAAAAUAAUAAUUGUAUAGGUGAAAAAAAAAAGUUUCUACAAUUGUUGGCACUAGUGUCCAAGAGAACUAUAGGUACAAAAGAUAUAUACCAUCCACAGACUAACCAUCUCCAGUUACGAAUCACUGCAACAGGAAUCUCAUCCUCAAACAAGACGGACAUGAGUGGCAUAAAGAAAAGGCUUCUUUCACAUUAGCAUUGAACGCGUUUUUCUUUUACAAUUUACAUGGGCAACCAUUCAGUCAGGCAGCUCGGAACGCUCCCUCCUUGCUGUGUCCAACAUUGUUGACAAGAACUUACUAGGGUCGCAACAAUAUGGAUUUGAAAGUGCAGCGUGUGCCAAAAAUGGAAGUUUUCUUAACGAUCUUCCACUUAGGCCCUGUAUACAUGGUUACAGUCGCAAGUUAUUUCAAUAAAUUUCUAUUGUGUUAAUACCAUAGAAGCUAAAAGAAUUUUUCACUUCUCACCUCACAUGCCUGGGCAGCUUCAAGCAAUUGUUCACACAAGUUUACUGGUAUCUGAGCUUCUGGUCCAUCAGGUGCAUUCCGUUUCUCUUUCAAGGUUGAAUAAUUUGGAAGCAUGAGCUGGUCAGAGUCCUGCAGAACUUAACAAGCUCAUAAGUCAUCAACCAUCAAAGUGGCAAGGCAAUUGCUUAAUGCAGUGAGGGAAAUCUUGAGUUGGCAAUCAUCGGAUACAGGUUCAAAUCUGAAAGUGGCACUUAAUGCAAAAAUGAUUAACUAUCUGUCAGUCUAAAUUCCUCUCCAAGGUCCCCCAACGCUGGAGUCAUAGUUCAGUGAUGGCAUUUACUCGUAAGAAUAUUAAUCUGGCCACACUAAUAUCUAAAUGGAGAGGAAGAUAUAUGGAAUUUCCAGAAAGUCACACCUGUAAAUUUGAUAUUAUUCCAGUUCGCAUAAGUUCCUGCAAGCAGGAUCUUAGAAUUUCAUAACGAGCUUGAAGAGUUGGAGGACCAACAUAGGCUUUGAUAUCAGCUCGAUCCACAAAUGCAAUAUCUGCAACCCAACAAUUGGAAUAUAUAUUAAAGAAAUGGAAUUUAUCCGAGGUGCUGUAAGGGACAAUGAGGAAACUUUCAAGGGAAAAAAAAAAUAUAAGAAUAAUCAUAAAAAUGGUUUGACUGUUUUUCUUUUUUGCCCAACACAGAUUGACAACAAAGGGCUCUGAACAUCUAACUCCAACAGAAAUGCAUGUGUGGUUUUCAAAUUCCAGGGUUUCCAGUUGGAUUAAUAAUUCAAAAACAAACUUGAAGACCAAUGACCAAGACCAUCAAGAUCAUUAAGAGUGUUAGAAGCAUCUCCAACAUUCAUAUGUAAACAAAAAUGAAUUUGAUUGACUGUUGUAGGAAGGAAUAUGCAGAGAUAAGAGGGGAUAAAAAAUUCAUAUCAGGAUAUAUAACAUAUAUUAGAAACUCAAGCAUAGAAACAUAGUAGAAGUGGGAGGGGAACAGCAUUGAGUUCAAGUUAGCAUGCAACGAUGCAGAGGAAAGUUGUUUGGAACUGCGAUAAAUCAUAGACUUACCUAUAGCAGCAGUUAUAUUGGAGGUAGUCAGAAUAACCACAUUUGGUGAGCAUUUCAAUUUGUCCAACUGGGUUAACAGUGCAUUGACAACCUGGUAGACAUUGCAAAGGUACCAUGCAUUAAAAAAUAUAUGAGAAGUUGUACCUCAAAAAAAAAGGUCAUUCUAGUCAUUCACAAGUCAAAAAUCAGAAAUAAAUUUGAGAGAAGUCCAAAGGCCAAUACUCGAAUAGUAUCAGAAGGUUCAGAACCAGACAAAGCAGCUUUUCUUGCUGCCGCAAGGCUUUCAACUUCAUCUGCAGCAUCAUCAUAUCUAAAGUAUCACAUGCUAGAAGGGGGAAGGAUGAGUAACAAAUAAAAGCAAAUAUAUCUUUUCAUAAUAAAUCUCACCAAUCAAAACAAAAACUAGAUUGUUUUCUUCCUCCACCAUUUCUUGAAUUUUCUGGAAAAGUUUUGCAACCUGAUGCAAUAAUCAGAUAACAAUUUUUUCAAGAUUUUUCAAAAAAUAAAGAUUCCUAUUGGAAAGGAGAACACUAAAACAAGUACGAUCCAUUAUUUUCUUUUUUAAAUUUACUGCAUAGAUUGUAUAGACCUUUGGCUAGGAAAUCUGGCCAUAAAUUGAAUUACAAACCAAGCAUCAUGAGCAAGUUGACUAUGAAGAUGGAAAAAUGAUCACAUAUCAAUUACAAUAUGUUAUAACUAUGUAACAAAAUAGAGAAAUACUAUAUUAAAAAAAAUAGUGAACAGAAUUAGCUAGCUAGAGAGACCACAAGCAUUUGGACUCCUUGAAGACGAUGAAAAAUAUACCAGCUUGCCACUUUCAGAGAACCAUUUGCUAAAUAAAGAAUGAGCAUUGACUUCAACCAAUUGGCACUGAGGAUAUCUGAUAAAGGCAGAAGUAUAAACAAGAACAAUAAAAAAGAUUAGUUAAGAAUAUAUACAUGUCCUCGUUUCUUUUCAUUGGUUCAUUAAGAGAAUAAACAUUCAUCAAACAAGACAUCAAGUGACCUGGAUUUAAAUCGUAUUGAUAGUUUUUGAGCCAAUGCUUUACAUAAGGAUGUUUUUCCAGUCCCUGGAGGUCCAUGUAAAAGAAUAAUCCUGGAAAACAAAAUGGACAUAUGAUUGGGGUCAUCUCAAAUUGUAUGGAAGCAGAAAUGCAGGGUGACAUUUCUACUUUUGCAGCUUUUCAAAUCUGCUUUAGAUGAAUCUGUAUUCCCCUUAUGGUUUCCAUACAUCGAGAUUUAUUUCAUGUCAAAAGUCCUUGUACUAGUCAAAUUUAUACAAAAGAAUAGGCUUAAGAAUUUUCCUCCAAUUUCAAGUCAGGCAUUUCAUUUUCAAGAAAAACGACUGAACAAUCUUUGAAUAAACAAAAUACUCAUCCCAUAAGCUGUCAUCUGGCUUGCAAAUACUGAUGAAAUAAGCCAAACUUUUAUUACCGGUUCCAUGACACAAGAAAAGGAUCAACACCCUUCUCAGUGAAGAGCAGUGCACUUGCUGCAUAACGCAAUAACCUUUGCUUGAGACCAGAUUCAUAAAUUAGGCUGCAAAAGUAAAUGACUGACAUUGGACAAUGCAUUGAUGAAUUGAACAGCAAAAAAAAAAAAAAAAAAAAAAAAAAAAGGAGAAGCUCCAAACAAACCUUUCCCACAUGCCAUCAAAUUCCUUUGCAGGCAAAAUCCAUUCAUUGAAGCUAGAAAGUUGGCCAUCCCCACUUAAUUCCUCACAUGGCCCUUCCUCACUAAGCUGACAAAACAAUGUAUAAACUAUAGAGUUUAUAAAACACAAUCAAAAAAGUGCAAAUAACACAAGAGCGCACGGGAACCUCUCAUUUUUACGAGGCAAAAAAGGGGCUAAUAUAGAUAAAAUAUAAUGCUAUAUGGCCUCAUAAAACUCUUACAAAUAAUUUAGAGGGAGGAAAAAAAAAAAAAAAAACCUAUGCCUGCACAAAUGUUACCUGAAAGACAUGUACAAUAGGUUUGACUUGCCAAAACAACAGAAUAUCAUGGUUCUUUGUCCAUUCAUCUACAGAGCAAAAAAGUAAACUGUUAAUUUUAUUGUGUCUACAUAAUUGGCACGGCAUCCAUUUGUUUCUCUAAAUUUUGGUGAAAUGAGAAAGGUUUCAUUUUAUCUUUCUUUUCUUCUUCCUCUAGAAUCUCAGCAACCAAAAGUUGGAAAGCAAAUGAAUACCCGUAUCACAAAUAUGGAUUCUUUGUACAUUUUGUGCAAGAAAGGUUUCAUCAUCAGGUAGUGGAAUAGGUCCAUCAGUAUAGCUUAAACUCCUCUUUUCGAGCAUUCUGAUUAAAUUGAACCAAAAAGGCCAAAUUUUUAGUCAGAAACACAUGAAAGUAGGCAAAAAUCAAACAAACUGAUUAUUGAAAACGCAAAAAUGGUAUAUAAUCCGACCUCAAAAAACAAAGAACGAACUCAAUAAGUAAACAUUCCUAUGGCAGAUAUAAUAUUCAUGGCAUACACAAGCUACAUGAUGUUUACUGCAUACCUUUCAACAGCAGAGCGAACAUCUUCAACACGAGCUGUGCUCGAGGGUUUUAAGCAAACUUCAACUGAAAAAUUAAUAAUCGAAGACUCAAUCGGCGAAACCUCAAAGUAGGAGCUUGAAGUUGAAAUAGAAGCCCAAUCUCUAAUUAAGAAGAGAAGGAGGGCCCAAUACGUACCAGAAACGAUAAAUUUUUCCUGGGCGGGAAUGGGAGAAAGGGCUGGUAGCUGUGAGACGCCAUUUGUUAUUGAAAUGUGGGCCUCUGUGGGGUUUUCCGUAGUAAUCUCCAUGGAAGUAGUCAUUUUCUGGCUAUGUUUGAGGUCAUAAACGGUGAAGACAGAGAAUUCGGAAAUGUGAUACUACGAAUAUUGGGCGAAGAGGCAAACCCUAGGACCAAAAGAGGAAGUUUUUCCUUUUUUCAAACGCGGGCGGGAAAAUGGCGAAGCAGUGGCGCCAUAUUUAUUUGCAGUUGCCAAUAACAACAGGGUCUUUUUCUUUUGUUUUUGUCUGGUUAUUAACAAAAGACGGGUUUAUCAGUUAUUAAAUUUCAAAAUUACAUUCGAUUUGAAAUUUUUUUAUUUUCAAAAGUCAAUGAAAUGUUUUUCAAAUAUUAAUAAAUUUAUUAUAUCCAUUAUUGAUUACCAAUAAUCAUCAUUAUCAAUUAUCACUAAUCAUCAUCCAAAUGCUAAUUAAUUAAAUAUGGUCACAUGCCAAUGCCAUGAACUCAUCAUAGCUAUCAUAAUUUGUUAGCGCAAACUGAAAUGUUGUUUAUAAUUAAGCAAGAAAGAUUUAUAAAUCCAAAUCCAUUCUUAAUUGUAAAAUUACCUAUCAUAUUAAUUUAAAAUAUAUUUUAAACAAAUACAGGACUAGCGACUUUAUUAAAAUAAAAAUAAAAACAAAACAUAAUAAAUUAUUGUCACUAUAUAAAUUAAAAUUUAAUGACUGCAUAAGUUGCGUGAAAUAAAGCCAAAAAUAACCAAAAAAGGAUUAAAGAAAAUCAAUGCCUAGAAGGGAGAAAUUAGUCUCGGAAAUAAAUAAAGGAUACGUUCACUUGUAGAAAACAAAUUGAAGUAGUUCUUUAAAAAAAAAUUUAAAAAAAUAGGAAAAUAAAAUUUUGUGUUCAAAUCAGUCAGUUUUCUAUCUAUAAAACUAGAAAAUAAUUUUAUAGUUUUUCAAAAUUUAAAUAACAUUUGAAAAAUAGCUUCAAGUUAUUUUUCACAUUAUUCCUUUAUAACAAAAUAUAUAUUUUCCAACUGUUUUCCAUUUCUAUAAAAUGAUAUUUUCAUAAUUGAUGUUGUACUAUCUAUAGAUAAUUUUUUCUAUAAAAUAUUUUUAUUGAAUAAAUAAAAAUACAUAAAUAACAUAAAAAAUUAUAUUAUGCUUUAAUAUAUAAUUAAUUUUAUAAUAUCAAAUAUAUUAUAUUCUUUAUUUUAAAAAAUUGUUACAAAAUGAUAAAAAUGAAUAUUAUUAUUAUAAAUAAUAGAUUUAAAAAAUUUUAAAAAAAUUUUUUAGAGUUAUUUUAUAAUACUUUAUUUUUAUUAUGAAAGUUAUGAAUAAUAUUUGUGAAGUUUUUAAAUUAAAAUAUAAUUUUUUAUUGUUAUUAAGUGAAUGAUUUUUUAUUUUUUAUUUUUUUUAUUUUCUAAGAAAAUUAUUUUUUUAAAAAAAAUAAAAAAUAAAAAAUAGAAAACUGUUUUGUGUUUUAGGUGAACACACGCAAACAAAUCAAACAUUAUCCUAGAUCUGGACCUUACCUAUCCAACGGUCAUCAUUUAAUCUGCAGCAACAGAUGAUAGUCAAAAAUUUCAUCACACAGAGAGGACAAGACAAGCUUCCAAACACCUUUUCUCUCUCUAUCUUCCUAGUCCUAGCAGUAGCAGCAGAGCCAAUGUGAGGCUCUAAUUUAGCAGAGAUAACAUCUAACAUGGCCCUCUUUACCACACUUUCUUAGAAAAAGAAAGCUAACAAUGAAAUAUGAAGAAUAAAAACAAGUCAGAGCAAGAAGAAGAAGCAGAAAAUGAACACCAUCUUGAAAUCCUCAAGGCUGUGGCACAAGCAUGGCAUGCGCACUCAGGCACCUCUAGGCCGACCAAUGAACAUGACGCCUACCGCCGAAAUUUUCAAACCAAGCCCUCUCGAUUCAAGCUAGAAGCAAUCAGCAGGCCAUGGACCGGUAACUAUAGAGUUGCGAGUGGAAGUUGGGAUUUUAAGCAAUCGCUGCUUGACUCAUAUGAGAUUGUCACCAUGACCAAGAAGCUUGAAAGAGGGCUUGUUUUAGAUCACCCAUUUUCUGGAUUGGAUUAUCAAAGCCGAGCCCCUAGAAAGCGAAGGGAAAGCAAGAAUAGUCUUAGAAAUUUGUUUAAUCGUAUGUCCUGGAGAAGAUACAAAGAAGCUGAUAUUCCUCGCGAAGAAGAUAUGUAACACUCAAUUUUGACAUAGUUUCUUUCUUUUCUGUAUUUGGUUUUUUUGCAUUGGUCAUGUUUCUACAUAUUAGUAAGUGAUAAGCAAUUUACAUCAUCAGGUUUUCGAAUGAAGAAUUUUCUUUCUAUUUUUCUUUUUUUUUCUAUUUUCCUCCCUUGUAUCAGAUUCUUCAUUGGAAAACCUGAAAUAUGGAUUUAAUUUUUGGUUCUUGAUGUGUCAAUAUCACAAAUUUUUACAACUUGUGUUCAGAUUUUUUUGGUAUAUGAUUUAUUGUAUUCCCGUAUAAAUUACUGUGGACUGGUCCUUAUUCCUUACGCUAUCAGAUUCCCAGUAUAAUGAAGUUCAAAUAUUCAUCAGAGUCACCAGAAUUUGACUGUAGCUGUCAAUGGCAAAGAAUAAUUACGCCGACAGAGUAAAAAAGCAAGACGAUAUUGGAAUAAAGGUAGCUGUGCCUACAUUGUCAUCUACAUUUGCUUGGUAUGAAGUAUAUAUCAUUCAUCUUUUCAUGUUCGAUAGAAUAUAUUGUUUGGAAAUUUAACAGCACUACAACUUAAUUAUUAGUUAAUUAUUGUUAAUUAAUAAGUAGCAACAUUAAAACCAAAAAGAGAAUACGUACAAAAACUAUAUACUAUAUUAAAUUAACUAUUUUAUUAGAAAUCUGAAAAACAGAAUCUAUGAAAAUGCAUGACUUUAACAUGCUAAAACAGGCCAACCCAGAAAGAAUUAUAAUUAUAUAGUUGUGUUGUGCAGACAAAGAGAAAGACAAAGCCUUCUUUUAUUUAAAUAGCUGCGUUAAUUAGUAGCAAACAGAACUAUAUAUAGCUCACACGUGUUCCCAAAUCCUAAUAAUAAAAUUAAUGCAACUUGAAAGUCUUCCAUUUGCAUAGCUCAAAUGCCUUAUGCUUCUGUUGGAGAUAUCCAUCAGUUUCUGCAUCAAUACUCUUCUCAACAACUUCAUGGAUCCCUGCAGAGUUAUCCUGGACAAUCAUUUGCUCUUGCUCUACUAACUGAACCUUCUUAUUGGGCUUGGUGGGCUUAUCGACACGCUCUUGAACGAUCAUUUCAGGUUCUUCGUCGCGAACCACUUUGUUGUUAAAGACCCUGUGGACAUUUGGGUAGCGAGGCACAUCAGCUAGAACACUUGGCAUCCUUUCUAUUUUUGCAACAUGAACAUGGUAAUCAUGGGAUGUCGUUUCCCAUCCAUGUCGUUGCCUGUGAUACACCGGAGAUUGGGCCAUAUGUUUGUGCUUAUGACGGUUCUUGCUCUGUCUCUCCGGUCAGUCAAUCUUGGUUUACGGAAGAAAUUAUUUAGAAAUUUAUAGAGGUUGUAUUGUAGCUUUAUUCUUUGGAGAUAAUGGUUGCAUCCAAUUCCCUUCCCAUCUGUCAGUUUGUGUAGACAUCAGAAUAAUAUUAUUGUAUAAAACCACAGGGUUGGGAGGAAUCGAAUGCCAAGGACAAUGGCCCUGAAUGGAUUCUAUGAUGUUAGCGUUUGUGUAUAGCGUGGAUCUCAAUGUAAAGAAAGUGGAUUCUUAAAUUUAUGGUGCUUGAUGAUCAACAAGAACAUGUCAUAAAUGCAAUAAUAGAAACACGAGUGGGAGAAAUCGUAGGUUAUGCAAAUUAUGUUAGCUCUGAACUAAACAAGGCAGGUAGUUCGGAAUUCCAGACACAAUUGAUAUAACAAGGCGCCAAGUUAGGUGGGGGUUUAGAACUUUAAAUUAAGUAUAAACAAGUCAACCUAUUUAUAAUACGGAAAAUUUUUGCUUAUUCCCG
RNAcentral lists this long non-coding RNA (11330 nucleotides) under Jatropha curcas. RNAcentral's name for it is "long non-coding RNA (JCUR_LNC002159)". Lineage: Eukaryota; Viridiplantae; Streptophyta; Magnoliopsida; Malpighiales; Euphorbiaceae. The record is from RNAcentral.